GGAGAGGUGGCAGAGUGGUUGAUCGCUCCGGUCUUGAAAACCGGCGACCCUUUAACGGGGUCCGGGGGUUCGAAUCCCUCCCUCUCCGCCA
This 91-nucleotide transfer RNA is filed under the name bacterium. Its description in RNAcentral is "tRNA-Ser". It matches the Rfam family "tRNA". From Rfam's summary of the family: Transfer RNA (tRNA) molecules are approximately 80 nucleotides in length. The record is from RNAcentral.